This 950-nucleotide ribosomal RNA is filed under the name Halomonas sp. RNAcentral describes it as "bacterial SSU rRNA". The record is from RNAcentral. Lineage: Bacteria; Pseudomonadati; Pseudomonadota; Gammaproteobacteria; Oceanospirillales; Halomonadaceae.
AUGCAAGUCGAGCGGUAACAGGGGUAGCUUGCUACCCGCUGACGAGCGGCGGACGGGUGAGUAAUGCAUAGGAAUCUGCCCGAUAGUGGGGGAUAACCUGGGGAAACCCAGGCUAAUACCGCAUACGUCCUACGGGAGAAAGGGGGCUUCGGCUCUCGCUAUUGGAUGAGCCUAUGUCGGAUUAGCUAGUUGGUGAGGUAAUGGCUCACCAAGGCAACGAUCCGUAGCUGGUCUGAGAGGAUGAUCAGCCACAUCGGGACUGAGACACGGCCCGAACUCCUACGGGAGGCAGCAGUGGGGAAUAUUGGACAAUGGGCGAAAGCCUGAUCCAGCCAUGCCGCGUGUGUGAAGAAGGCCCUCGGGUUGUAAAGCACUUUCAGCGAGGAAGAACGCCUAGUGGUUAAUACCCAYUAGGAAAGACAUCACUCGCAGAAGAAGCACCGGCUAACUCCGUGCCAGCAGCCGCGGUAAUACGGAGGGUGCAAGCGUUAAUCGGAAUUACUGGGCGUAAAGCGCGCGUAGGUGGCUUGAUAAGCCGGUUGUGAAAGCCCCGGGCUCAACCUGGGAACGGCAUCCGGAACUGUCAAGCUAGAGUGCAGGAGAGGAAGGUAGAAUUCCCGGUGUAGCGGUGAAAUGCGUAGAGAUCGGGAGGAAUACCAGUGGCGAAGGCGGCCUUCUGGACUGACACUGACACUGAGGUGCGAAAGCGUGGGUAGCAAACAGGAUUAGAUACCCUGGUAGUCCACGCCGUAAACGAUGUCGACCAGCCGUUGGGUGCCUAGCGCACUUUGUGGCGAAGUUAACGCGAUAAGUCGACCGCCUGGGGAGUACGGCCGCAAGGUUAAAACUCAAAUGAAUUGACGGGGGCCCGCACAAGCGGUGGAGCAUGUGGUUUAAUUCGAUGCAACGCGAAGAACCUUACCUACUCUUGACAUCCUGCGAACUUGUGA